This 484-nucleotide ribosomal RNA is filed under the name uncultured bacterium. RNAcentral describes it as "partial 16S ribosomal RNA". It matches the Rfam family "Bacterial small subunit ribosomal RNA", at positions 28 to 507 of the family's 1533-position model. The record is from RNAcentral.
AUUGAACGCUGGCGGCAUGCUUUACACAUGCAAGUCGAACGGCAGCGCGGGCUUCGGCCUGGCGGCGAGUGGCGAACGGGUGAGUAAUGCAUCGGAACGUGCCCAGUAGUGGGGGAUAGCCCGGCGAAAGCCGGAUUAAUACCGCACACGACCUGAGGGUGAAAGCGGGGGACCGAAAGGCCUCGCGCUAUUGGAGCGGCCGAUGUCGGAUUAGCUAGUUGGUGGGGUAAAGGCUUACCAAGGCGACGAUCCGUAGCUGGUCUGAGAGGACGACCAGCCACACUGGGACUGAGACACGGCCCAGACUCCUACGGGAGGCAGCAGUGGGGAAUUUUGGACAAUGGGGGCAACCCUGAUCCAGCUAUGCCGCGUGCGGGAAGAAGGCCUUCGGGUUGUAAACCGCUUUUGUUCGGGAAGAAAUCCUCUGGGCUAAUACCCCGGGGGGAUGACGGUACCGGAAGAAUAAGCACCGGCUAACUACGUG